AGGGCGGGGGGCGUGGCCAAGGGCAAGGGCGCCAAAAAUCUUUUAGGCCCGUAGUCGCUGUUGUUUUGGUUGCCUGGUGGUCGCUGCUGUCUCGGUCUCCAUAUUUUCCCUGUUUGGCGGGCACUGAGGGCAACAGGAAGGUCCACAAGGUGUUUCAACAUGACCAACUUCAUGUCUGCUGUUGCUGACUGCAAAUCAAACUCAAGAGUGAAGGAAGGACAACAUCAGAGCAUGAAGGAAGUUGCAUUGUGGGCCAGGUUUCUAGCAGCCAGAUGGGAACCAAUGAGAAGGAAGUUGUGGAAGAAGUGCAGGGGGCCAAAGGGAUGAAAUACAACUGUAAAUCAUGGCAUCUGCUCCUUGCACUUCAUUGACUGGGGAAAACUGAUGAACACCAGCAAAUCCAGACCCAGUUCUGUUUGCAUACACUGGGAAGACUGCCUGACAUAUCACAAGAAAGAAAAAUAGUCUUCAGAUUCUAGAUGAACACAGGUACCAAGCUUACACCACCCUAAGUCAUGCCUACACCCAGACUGUUGAAUGGAGACCUCUCAUUGCCCUGCAGAUGUUUUGGUUUCAAGAUUGCAUGCACUUGUGGGAGAUUAAAAUGUGCUGCAUAGAAGUCUCCAAAAUUUAUGUGCAGGGAAGGUGAUGAGCUAAGCUGAAAGGAAGACUGCACAAGAUAGACAUUAGUUGAUUGUCAGCUGUGUGGUGACUGGACGGCAGAUAGACAGCAUACAAGUGGGUGCACUGUGGUCCUCAUCAGGAGUUGCUACCCUCUGACAAGUGUCUUGCUUUCCUGGAUGGAGAAGUCUUCAAUGCAGCCAUUUUUCAUAUUCGGCACUCUGGUGGGGAGUGGGAAAUCGGUGAUAGAUGAUUUUGCUGCUUUUAAAUAAGUGUAGACAUUGCAAACUAAACCAGAAUUGGACUGGGUAACUCAUUGACAAGUUUGAUGUUUGUUUGCUGUUACUGAUAUUAGGAUUUGACAUGCUUGAAAAAGUGAGUGUUUGUUAUUGUAACAGCAGUGUUGAUAUAGAACUUAUAAAUUCUGGCCAUGUAUCAUUGUAAAAAUGUUUUAACUAAAUUACACUGGAGACAAAUUGAUUAGUUUCUUUUAAAAAAAACAUGAUUAUGGUGUUUCUCCGGAGGCCUUUUGAGGCAUUACUGACUCAUGGGGA
Long non-coding RNA from Eriocheir sinensis (Chinese mitten crab), 1175 nucleotides. RefSeq lists it as uncharacterized. The transcript is spliced from 4 exons. NCBI's taxonomy places the organism in Eukaryota, Metazoa, Arthropoda, Malacostraca, Decapoda, Varunidae. The record is from RefSeq and is a predicted model, not a curated record.